RNAcentral lists this ribosomal RNA (253 nucleotides) under uncultured bacterium. Its description in RNAcentral is "partial 16S ribosomal RNA". It matches the Rfam family "Bacterial small subunit ribosomal RNA", at positions 524 to 776 of the family's 1533-position model. The record is from RNAcentral.
UACGUAGGGGGCUAGCGUUGUCCGGAAUCAUUGGGCGUAAAGCGUGCGCAGGCGGUUUUGUAAGCCAGAUGUGAAAUCCCCGGGCUCAACCUGGGAAUGGCAUUUGGGACUGCAAGGCUCGAGUGCGGCAGAGGAGACUGGAAUUCCUGGUAUAGCAGUGAAAUGCGUAGAUAUCAGGAGGAAUACCGAUGGCGAAGGCAGGUCUCUGGGCUGACACUGACGCUCAUGCACGAAAGCGUGGGGAGCAAACAGG